GGGGGUGAACAGGGUUCGACUUAGACAGGUCAGGUAAAAGCAGCAUGCCGCGGACGCAAGGUUGGCCGCGUAACAAUCCUUGCACAAUACAAACGCAAACACACCAGUGUUUAGUCGGCUACCAUUGUUCGCAAUGAUGCCGGCUGGCGUACCAGCCUUCGGGCUUAAUUAAGCCCGAAGCCGCUUUUCGCCUUGUCUGCGGGGCGAAAAAGCGCAGUUAGCAGACUGGCUAGGCCUGUUACCUUUGCGGGUUUAGCAAGAUAUAAAAGGUUGCGUCUUAUCUUAUCCUGUUUAGCGGAGAAGAUAAGAUUAAGAUUAAAAGAUAAACUAAGCAUGUAGCGGCUUUUAUCUGAAUGUUUAAGGACGGCGGUUCGAUUCCGCCCACCUCCACCA
Molecule: transfer-messenger RNA, 393 nt
Filed under: Candidatus Omnitrophota bacterium
Lineage: Bacteria; Pseudomonadati; Candidatus Omnitrophota
Rfam family: transfer-messenger RNA
About the family: Bacterial tmRNA, also known as 10Sa RNA or SsrA, is named for its dual tRNA and mRNA-like properties. Its role is to liberate the mRNA from a stalled ribosome.
Source: RNAcentral